AAGCGGAGGAACAUGUGGUUUAAUUCGAUGAUACGCGAGGAACCUUACCUGGGCUUAAAUGUAGAGUGCAUUGAGAGGAAACUUUCAUUUUCUUCGGAACUCUUUACAAGGUGCUGCAUGGUUGUCGUCAGCUCGUGCCGUGAGGUGUCGGGUUAAGUCCCAUAACGAGCGCAACCCUUAUCGUUAGUUGCCAGCGGGUAAUGCCGGGAACUCUAGCGAAACUGCCGGUGUAAACCGAGAGGAAGGUGGGGAUGACGUCAAAUCAUCAUGCCCCUUAUGACCUGGGCUACACACGUGCUGCAAUGGUCUGAACAGAGGGCUGCGAAACCGCGGGGUGAAGCUAAUCCCUUAAAACAGAUCUCAGUUCGGAUUGCAGGCUGCAACUCGCCUGCAUGAAGUUGGAGUUGCUAGUAAUCGCAGAUCAGAAUGCUGCGGUGAAUGCGUUCCCGGGUCUU
RNAcentral lists this ribosomal RNA (455 nucleotides) under uncultured Sphingobacteriales bacterium. Its description in RNAcentral is "bacterial SSU rRNA". It matches the Rfam family "Bacterial small subunit ribosomal RNA", at positions 927 to 1382 of the family's 1533-position model. Lineage: Bacteria; Pseudomonadati; Bacteroidota; Sphingobacteriia; Sphingobacteriales. The record is from RNAcentral.